This 369-nucleotide ribosomal RNA is filed under the name uncultured bacterium. RNAcentral's name for it is "bacterial SSU rRNA". It matches the Rfam family "Bacterial small subunit ribosomal RNA", at positions 525 to 896 of the family's 1533-position model. The record is from RNAcentral.
ACGAAGGAUGCAAGCGUUAUCCGGAUUCAUUGGGUUUAAAGGGAGCGUAGGCGGACUUGUAAGUCAGUGGUGAAAUCUGUGGGCUUAACCCACAAACUGCCAUUGAUACUGCAGGUCUAGAGUACAGUUGCCGUUGGCGGAAUAUGACAUGUAGUGGUGAAAUACUUAGAUAUGUCAUAGAACACCGAUUGCGAAGGCAGCUAACGAAGCUGUAACUGACGCUGAGGCUCGAAAGUGCGGGGAUCAAACAGGAUUAGAUACCCUGGUAGUCCGCACUGUAAACGAUGAUUACUCGUUGCUGGGGAGCAAUUUCCAGUGACCAAGCGAAAGCGAUAAGUAAUCCACCUGGGGAGUACGCCGGCAACGGUG